AGCAGCCGCGGUAAUUCCAGCUCCAAUAGCGUAUAUUAAAGUUGCUGCAGUUAAAAAGCUCGUAGUUGAAUUUCGGGACCAAUCUGCCGGUCGUGCCUCCGGUACGCACUGGUUUUAUUGGUUUCUCCCUUCUGACGAACCAUGAUGUCAUUAAUUUGGUGUCAUGGGGAAUCAGGACUGUUACUUUGAAAAAAUUAGAGUGUUUAUAGCAGGCUCACGCUUGAAUACAUUAGCAUGGAAUAAUGAAAUAGGACGUUUGAUUCUAUUUUGUUGGUUUCUAGGAUCGACGUAAUGAUUAAUAGGGAUAGUUGGGGGCAUUAGUAUUCAAUUGUCAGAGGUGAAAUUCUUGGAUUUAUUGAAGACUAACUACUGCGAAAGCAUUUUGCCAAGGAUGUUUUCAUUAAUCAAGAACGAAAGUUAGGGGAUCGAAGACGAUCAGAUACCGUCGUAGUCUUAACCAUAAACUAUGCCGACUAGGGAUCGGAUGAUGUUAAUUUUUUCAAUGACUCAUUCGGCGCCU
Molecule: ribosomal RNA, 520 nt
Filed under: uncultured Glomus
Lineage: Eukaryota; Fungi; Glomeromycota; Glomeromycetes; Glomerales; Glomeraceae
Description: SSU rRNA
Rfam family: Eukaryotic small subunit ribosomal RNA
Source: RNAcentral